GACGAACGCUGGCGGCGUGCUUAACACAUGCAAGUCGAACGCUGAAGCUUGGUGCUUGCACUGGGUGGAUGAGUGGCGAACGGGUGAGUAAUAAGUGAGUAACCUGCCCUUGACUCUGGGAUAAGCCUGGGAAACUGGGUCUAAUACUGGAUACGACAUGUCACCGCAUGGUGGUGUGUGGAAAGGGUUUUACUGGUUUUGGAUGGGCUCACGGCCUAUCAGCUUGUUGGUGGGGUAAUGGCUCACCAAGGCGACGACGGGUAGCCGGCCUGAGAGGGUGACCGGCCACACUGGGACUGAGACACGGCCCAGACUCCUACGGGAGGCAGCAGUGGGGAAUAUUGCACAAUGGGCGGAAGCCUGAUGCAGCGACGCCGCGUGAGGGAUGACGGCCUUCGGGUUGGAAACCUCUUUCAGCACGGAAGAAGCGAAAGUGACGGUACGUGCAGAAGAAGCGCCGGCUAACUACGU
Molecule: ribosomal RNA, 471 nt
Filed under: uncultured bacterium
Lineage: Bacteria
Description: partial 16S ribosomal RNA
Rfam family: Bacterial small subunit ribosomal RNA
Source: RNAcentral